UACGGGGGGAGCAAUCGUUGUUCGGAUUUACUGGGCGUAAAGAGCUCGUAGGCGGUUUGUCGCGUCUGCUGUGAAAACCUAAGGCUCAACCUUGGGCUUGCAGUGGGUACGGGCAGACUAGAGUGCGGUAGGGGUGACUGGAAUUCCUGGUGUAGCGGUGGAAUGCGCAGAUAUCAGGAGGAACACCGAUGGCGAAGGCAGGUCACUGGGCCGCAACUGACGCUGAGGAGCGAAAGCAUGGGGAGCGAACAGG
Molecule: ribosomal RNA, 253 nt
Filed under: uncultured bacterium
Lineage: Bacteria
Description: partial 16S ribosomal RNA
Rfam family: Bacterial small subunit ribosomal RNA
Source: RNAcentral